UGAAAAGAUACUUUCUUGGAAAAAAAUGAGAAUCUGAAUGUUCUUGAAUAUUGGAAAGUAGAAUCUGAGAAGCGUCCUCAAUUAUCCAUGAUGGCUCGUGAUAUACUCAGUAUCCCUAUUACUUCAGUGGCCUCUGAAUCUGCUUUCAGCAUAGCUGGUCGUGUGCUUGAUAAGUACCGCAAUCGUCUUCUUCCGGAAAAUGCCGAAGCUCAAAUAUGCCUUGGUUCUUGGUUAGAUGGGGUUCCUUCUUUGGAAGAUAUUGAAGAAGGACAUCUGUUGGUGCAUGAUUUUAGUGAUAUUCAAAAUUUUGAAUCUGAAGGAGGGUGGUGAAGUGCUUGUUAGAAGAUUUGUCAUCUAUUAAGCUUGAGGCCAUGGGAUUUGCUCGAGCUCUUAUACUGCAAGUGUUCUUUGCCUGCAACAAGAGCGAAGAGAUGACAGCAAACUACCUUUUGGAUCAUAUACAUGAGUUUGAGAACGAUCAAUAGUUUAAGAAAAGUCUAAGAUCAACCGCCCCUUUCACUCUCAUCCAGUUUUAACUUAUCUUGUAGUGGUUAUUGUUCGAUAGACAAUGGACUAAAAAGACCAAUCUCUUGCAGCAUAUGUUGAUCUAUAUAAUGUUUACUAGUCGUAAUGUUGUGUAUAAUACUUGGGAUCUUAGCGCUUCACAUUUUGAUUUUCGUUAUAUGCAGAACGUCUUUUUUUAAGCUGAGGAAGCUUUUGAGGUUGAUGUUUUUCUGUCGAUAAUUUGUCUGCCUGUGCUUGCGCCUGUGAAAUUGGGUUUCAGGCUGGAAAAGUAUUAUCUACC
Asparagus officinalis (garden asparagus) is the source of this 805-nucleotide long non-coding RNA. RefSeq lists it as uncharacterized. The record is from RefSeq and is a predicted model, not a curated record. The transcript has 3 exons. NCBI's taxonomy places the organism in Eukaryota, Viridiplantae, Streptophyta, Magnoliopsida, Asparagales, Asparagaceae.